Danio rerio (zebrafish) is the source of this 71-nucleotide non-coding RNA. Lineage: Eukaryota; Metazoa; Chordata; Actinopteri; Cypriniformes; Danionidae. The record is from Rfam.
GCAUUGGUGGUUCAGUGGUAGAAUUCUCGCCUGCCACGUGUGAGAUCUGGGUCCGAUUCCAGGCCAAUGCA